ACCAUAGGCACAAGCAUGCAUCUAUACUCUCAGCUACUUGGGAGGCUGAGGCAGGAAGAUCGCUUGAGCCAAGGAAUUCUGGGCUGUAGUAUGCUAUGCUGAUUGGGUGUCCAAACCAAGUUUUUCAUCAAUAUGGUGACUUCUUGGGAGCUGAGGGCCACCAGGUUGCCCAAGGAGGGGUAAACCAGCCCAGGUCAGAAGUGGAGCAGAUCAAAACUCUGGUGCUAAUUAGUAGUGAGAUCUUGCCUGUGAAUAGUCACUGUACGGUAGCCUGGGCAACAUAAUAAGACUGUGUCUCU
Molecule: unclassified non-coding RNA, 299 nt
Organism: Piliocolobus tephrosceles (Ugandan red Colobus)
Lineage: Eukaryota; Metazoa; Chordata; Mammalia; Primates; Cercopithecidae
Rfam family: Metazoan signal recognition particle RNA
About the family: The signal recognition particle (SRP) is a universally conserved ribonucleoprotein. It is involved in the co-translational targeting of proteins to membranes. The eukaryotic SRP consists of a 300-nucleotide 7S RNA and six proteins: SRPs 72, 68, 54, 19, 14, and 9.
Source: Ensembl